RNAcentral lists this ribosomal RNA (429 nucleotides) under uncultured beta proteobacterium. RNAcentral's name for it is "bacterial SSU rRNA". It matches the Rfam family "Bacterial small subunit ribosomal RNA", at positions 355 to 776 of the family's 1533-position model. The record is from RNAcentral. Lineage: Bacteria; Pseudomonadati; Pseudomonadota; Betaproteobacteria.
UGGGGAAUUUUGGACAAUGGGGGCAACCCUGAUCCAGCCAUGCCGCGUGUGUGAAGAAGGCCUUCGGGUUGUAAAGCACUUUCGGCGGGAACGAAAUCGCUCUGGCUAAUACCUGGGGCGGAUGACGGUACUCGCAGAAGAAGCACCGGCUAACUACGUGCCAGCAGCCGCGGUAAUACGUAGGGUGCGAGCGUUAAUCGGAAUUACUGGGCGUAAAGCGUGCGCAGGCGGCUUUUUAAGCCAGAUGUGAAAGCCCCGGGCUUAACCUGGGAACUGCAUUUGGGACUGGAAGGCUAGAGUGCGGAAGAGGGGGGUGGAAUUCCACGUGUAGCAGUGAAAUGCGUAGAGAUGUGGAGGAACACCGAUGGCGAAGGCAGCCCCCUGGGUCGACACUGACGCUCAUGCACGAAAGCGUGGGGAGCAAACAGG